This 220-nucleotide ribosomal RNA is filed under the name uncultured Glomeromycotina. RNAcentral's name for it is "partial small subunit ribosomal RNA". It matches the Rfam family "Eukaryotic small subunit ribosomal RNA", at positions 569 to 798 of the family's 1831-position model. The record is from RNAcentral. Lineage: Eukaryota; Fungi; Glomeromycota.
AGCAGCCGCGGUAAUUCCAGCUCCAAUAGCGUAUAUUUAAGUUGUUGCAGUUAAAAGCUGUAGUUGAAUUUCGGGAUUAAUAUGCUGGUCGUGCCAUUGGUACGUACUAGUAUUAUUGUUUCUCCCUUCUGAUGAAUCAUGAUGUCAUUAAUUUGAUGUCAUGGGGAAUCAGGACUGUACUUUGAAAAAAUUAGAGUGUUUAAAGCAGGCUCGCGCUUGA